This 465-nucleotide ribosomal RNA is filed under the name uncultured bacterium. RNAcentral describes it as "bacterial SSU rRNA". It matches the Rfam family "Bacterial small subunit ribosomal RNA", at positions 338 to 795 of the family's 1533-position model. The record is from RNAcentral.
CCUACGGGUUGCAGCAGUGGGGAAUAUUGCACAAUGGGCGCAAGCCUGAUGCAGCCAUGCCGCGUGUGUGAAGAAGGCCUUCGGGUUGUAAAGCACUUUCAGCGGGGAGGAAGGCGUUAAGGUUAAUAACCUUGGCGAUUGACGUUACCCGCAGAAGAAGCACCGGCUAACUCCGUGCCAGCAGCCGCGGUAAUACGGAGGGUGCAAGCGUUAAUCGGAAUUACUGGGCGUAAAGCGCACGCAGGCGGUCUGUCAAGUCGGAUGUGAAAUCCCCGGGCUCAACCUGGGAACUGCAUUCGAAACUGGCAGGCUAGAGUCUUGUAGAGGGGGGUAGAAUUCCAGGUGUAGCGGUGAAAUGCGUAGAGAUCUGGAGGAAUACCGGUGGCGAAGGCGGCCCCCUGGACAAAGACUGACGCUCAGGUGCGAAAGCGUGGGGAGCAAACAGGAUUAGAUACCCCAGUAGUC